GACGAACGCUGGCGGCGUGCUUAACACAUGCAAGUCGAACGCUGAAGCUUGGUGCUUGCACUGGGUGGAUGAGUGGCGAACGGGUGAGUAAUACGUGAGUAACCUGCCCUUGACUCUGGGAUAAGCCUGGGAAACUGGGUCUAAUACUGGAUACGACAUGUCACCGCAUGGUGGUGUGUGGAAAGGGUUUUACUGGUUUUGGAUGGGCUCACGGCCUAUCAGCUUGUUGGUGGGGUAAUGGCUCACCAAGGCGACGACGGGUAGCCGGCCUGAGAGGGUGACCGGCCACACUGGGACUGAGACACGGCCCAGACUCCUACGGGAGGCAGCAGUGGGGAAUAUUGCACAAUGGGCGAAAGCCUGAUGCAGCGACGCCGCGUGAGGGAUGACGGCCUUCGGGUUGUAAACCUCUUUCAGCACGGAAGAAGCGAAAGUGACGGUACGUGCAGAAGAAGCGCCGGCUAACUACG
Molecule: ribosomal RNA, 470 nt
Filed under: uncultured bacterium
Lineage: Bacteria
Description: partial 16S ribosomal RNA
Rfam family: Bacterial small subunit ribosomal RNA
Source: RNAcentral